RNAcentral lists this ribosomal RNA (460 nucleotides) under uncultured bacterium. RNAcentral describes it as "partial 16S ribosomal RNA". It matches the Rfam family "Bacterial small subunit ribosomal RNA", at positions 338 to 795 of the family's 1533-position model. The record is from RNAcentral.
CCUACGGGUGGCUGCAGUGAGGAAUAUUGGUCAAUGGGCGCGAGCCUGAACCAGCCAAGUAGCGUGAAGGAUGACUGCCCUACGGGUUGUAAACUUCUUUUAUAAAGUAAUAAAGUGAGGCACGUGUGCCUUUUUGUAUGUACUUUAUGAAUAAGGAUCGGCUAACGCCGUGCCAGCAGCCGGGGUAAUACCGAGGAUCCGAGCGUUAUCCGGGUUUAUUGGGUUUAAAGGGAGCGUAGAUGGGUUGUUAAGUCAGUUGUGAAAGUUUGCGGCUCAACCGUAAAAUUGCAAUUGAUACUGGCAGCCUUGAGUACAGGUGAGGUAGGCGGAAUUCGUGGUGUAGCGGUGAAAUGCUUAGAUAGCACGAAGAACUCCGAUUGCGAAGGCAGCCUACUAAACUGCCACUGACAUUGAUGCUCGAAAGUGUGGGUAUCAAACAGGAUUAGAUACCCGAGUAGUC